ACUCCUACGGGAGGCAGCAGUGGGAAUAUUGCACAAUGGGGAAGCCCAUCGAUGCAGCCAUGCCGCGCUGUGUGAAGAAGGCCAAUUCGGGCUUUGGUUAAAGACACUUUCAGUAGGGAGGAAGGUAGUGUAGUUAACACCUGCAUCUUAUUGACUGUACCUACAGAAGAAGCACCGGCUAACUCCGUGCCAGCAGCCGCGGUAAUACGGAGGGUGCGAGCGUUAAUCGGAAUUACUGGGCGUAAAGCGCAUGCAGGCGGCCUGUUAAGUCAGAUGUG
Molecule: ribosomal RNA, 278 nt
Filed under: uncultured bacterium
Lineage: Bacteria
Description: partial 16S ribosomal RNA
Rfam family: Bacterial small subunit ribosomal RNA
Source: RNAcentral